UAGCUAGUUGGUGAGGUAAAGGCUUACCAAGGCGACGAUCUGUAGCGGGUCUGAGAGGAUGAUCCGCCACACUGGAACUGAGACACGGUCCAGACUCCUACGGGAGGCAGCAGUGGGGAAUUUUGGACAAUGGGGGCAACCCUGAUCCAGCCAUGCCGCGUGAGUGAAGAAGGCCUUCGGGUUGUAAAGCUCUUUCGGCCGGGAAGAAAUCGCAUGGGCCAAUACCCUGUGUGGAUGACGGUACCGGAAUAAGAAGCACCGGCUAACUACGUGCCAGCAGCCGCGGUAAUACGUAGGGUGCGAGCGUUAAUCGGAAUUACUGGGCGUAAAGCGUGCGCAGGCGGUUUUGUAAGACAGGCGUGAAAUCCCCGGGCUUAACCUGGGAACUGCGUUUGUGACUGCAAGGCUAGAGUACGGCAGAGGGGGGUGGAAUUCCACGUGUAGCAGUGAAAUGCGUAGAGAUGUGGAGGAACACCAAUGGCGAAGGCAGCCCCCUGGGUCGGUACUGACGCUCAUGCACGAAAGCGUGGGUAGCAAACAGGAUUAGAUACCCUGGUAGUCCACGCCCUAAACUAUGUCAACUAGGUGUUGGGUGGGUAAAACCAUUUAGUACCGUAGCUAACGCGUGAAGUUGACCGCCUGGGGAGUACGGCCGCAAGGCUAAAACUCAAAGGAAUUGACGGGGACCCGCACAAGCGGUGGAUGAUGUGGAUUAAUUCGAUGCAACGCGAAAAACCUUACCUACCCUUGACAUGCUAGGAACUUGCCAGAGAUGGCUUGGUGCCCGAAAGGGAGCCUGGACACAGGUGCUGCAUGGCUGUCGUCAGCUCGUGUCGUGAGAUGUUGGGUUAAGUCCCGCAACGAGCGCAACCCUUGUCGUUAAUUGCCAUCAUUUAGUUGGGCACUUUAACGAGACUGCCGGUGACAAACCGGAGGAAGGUGGGGAUGACGUCAAGUCCUCAUGGCCCUUAUGGGUAGGGCUUCACACGUCAUACAAUGGUCGGUACAAAGGGUUGCCAAGCCGCGAGGCGGAGCCAAUCCCAGAAAGCCGAUCGUAGUCCGGAUUGUAGGCUGCAACUCGCCUGCAUGAAGUCGGAAUCGCUAGUAAUCGUGGAUCAGCAUGUCUCGGUGAAUACGUUCCCGGGUCUUGUACACACCGCCCGUCACACCAUGGGAGCGGGUUCCGCCAGAAGUAGGUAGCCUAACCGCAAGGGGGGCGCUUACCACGGCGGGGUUCGUGACUGGGGUGAAGUCGGAACAAGGUAGCCGUAGGGGAACCUGCGGCUG
RNAcentral lists this ribosomal RNA (1287 nucleotides) under metagenome. RNAcentral describes it as "bacterial SSU rRNA". It matches the Rfam family "Bacterial small subunit ribosomal RNA", at positions 242 to 1520 of the family's 1533-position model. The record is from RNAcentral.